CUUUUCCCUUCCCUUCCCUUCCCUCCCUUUCAUGCCACCCCUCGCAGCCGCCCAUUGUUGCUGCCGGGCGCUGGCAGCCGGGGGCAGUUGUGGCAGGGGAGCGGGCGGCGGAGGAGCCGGCGCCGGUUGCUAGGAGACUGCAGAGCUGCAAGGUGAACACCACCACCACCACCACCACCACCAGCACCACCACAUCGGCGGCUCCCCGAGGCUGGCUUCCCACCCUGCGCAGGUGUAUCAGCCUGGAUGUAGUCUCCCGGUACGGAGUGUAAAAUUUGCAGCAGAAGUACAGUUUAGCACUGAAAAAGCUCUUCCUCAUCUGAACCAUCAUUCAAAAUGCAGGAUGAAAGUAGCCAAAUAGAAGUUUUCUAUCACAUUGUCUGGAGGAUUCCCAGAACAUUCUUCGGAAACCUGGGCAUAUCUGUCUCAGGCUGCCCCUAAAAAGAUGAAGCAGGAAUGUGGCAAAAUGAACUCAAAACACACAAAGAGAAGACGUUCUAGACUAACCUGCAAGGUGUUCAGGUUCACUGAUAACAUGCAAACCAGAGUCUGCUUACCGUUGUCUGUUCCAGAUACGAUGUCAGAGCAAGAAGGGAGACUUAGAAGUAGUGUGACUCAAAAAAGAAGUAUUUUGAAAGAAUGAUUUACUGGGGAACCAAGUUAGAAGAUGACAGAAGUGAAGAUUGGUCAUCUAUGAGGAGAAAUGACAAGGU
This is a long non-coding RNA of Falco peregrinus (peregrine falcon), 713 nucleotides long. RefSeq lists it as uncharacterized. NCBI's taxonomy places the organism in Eukaryota, Metazoa, Chordata, Aves, Falconiformes, Falconidae. The transcript has 6 exons. The record is from RefSeq and is a predicted model, not a curated record.